RNAcentral lists this ribosomal RNA (503 nucleotides) under uncultured bacterium. Its description in RNAcentral is "partial 16S ribosomal RNA". It matches the Rfam family "Bacterial small subunit ribosomal RNA", at positions 30 to 523 of the family's 1533-position model. The record is from RNAcentral.
AUUGAACGCUGGCGGCAGGCUUAACACAUGCAAGUCGAGCGGGGUGAUGGUGCUUGCACUAUCACUUAGCGGCGGACGGGUGAGUAAUGCUUAGGAAUCUGCCUAUUAGUGGGGGACAACAUCUCGAAAGGGAUGCUAAUACCGCAUACGUCCUACGGGAGAAAGCAGGGGAUCACUUGUGACCUUGCGCUAAUAGAUGAGCCUAAGUCGGAUUAGCGAGUUGGUGGGGUAAAGGCCUACCAAGGCGACGAUCUGUAGCGGGUCUGAGAGGAUGAUCCGCCACACUGGGACUGAGACACGGCCCAGACUCCUACGGGACGCAGCAGUGGGGAAUAUUGGACAAUGGGGGGAACCCUGAUCCAGCCAUGCCGCGUGUGUGAAGAAGGCCUUAUGGUUGUAAAGCACUUUAAGCGAGGAGGAGGCUCUUUUGGUUAAUACCCAAGAUGAGUGGACGUUACUCGCAGAAUAAGCACCGGCUAACUCUGUGCCAGCCGCCGCAGUAA